GGUUAAGUCCCGUAACAAGCGCAACCCUUAUCCUUAUUUGCCAGCACAUCAUGGUGGGAACUAUAAGGAGACUGCCGGUGAUAAACCGGAGGAAGGCGGGGACGACGUCAAGUCAUCAUGGCCCUUACGACCAGGGCUACACACGUGCUACAAUGGGAAGGACAAAGGGUUGCUAAGCCGCGAGGUAGUGCUAAUCUCAUAAACCUUUUCGUAGUCCGGAUCGGAGUCUGCAACUCGACUCCGUGAAGUCGGAAUCGCUAGUAAUCGUGGAUCAGAAUGCCACGGUGAAUACGUUCCCGGGUCUUGUACACACCGCCCGUCAUACCAUGGGAGUGGGUUGCACCAGAAGUGGCUAGUCUAACUUAGUGAGGACGGUCACCACGGUGUGAUCCAUGACUGGGGUAAAGUCGUAACAAGGUA
RNAcentral lists this ribosomal RNA (420 nucleotides) under uncultured marine bacterium. Its description in RNAcentral is "bacterial SSU rRNA". It matches the Rfam family "Bacterial small subunit ribosomal RNA", at positions 1078 to 1498 of the family's 1533-position model. The record is from RNAcentral.